GUGUAUUUUACUCUGGUUAAAAUCUAUUACAUUAUAGGGUUUGUACCUAUAUCCCCCUUUUUUUUCAUUGCAACGUACCACAAACUUCAAAAGUAUUCCAUAUAAAAAAAAAGAUGUGAUAUGAUUGCAAAUGAGACAUACAUUAACUUACAAUUAUAGGUCCCGUACGGGCUUCAACAAUGAGUAAAAUUCAUACUGCAUAGUCUUCAAUUCCCGAAAUAAAUAAUGUAAAACAAACGAAAAAUCUAACGGCCCGAUUAAUGUACAAAAUAAAUAAGAAACAAACAAAUAUAGUAUAUAGAAACAAACGACAAACACUGCAUUACCGUCUCGUGACUUGAAACUGACACAUACAGAAUGUGGCGGGGUUUAACUUUUCUAAGGGUGCGCCAACACUCCCCUAACCUGGGUGUACCAGUGCAACAAGCUUUUUACCAAAUCAACCAUUAUCUUCAUCAUCUUCAUUUUCAUCAACCGUCACAAGACAUGACAAGACACAUGAAAGGUUCUGCUCAAAGCAAACACGUUAUUUUGAGGUUUUUUUACAAGUAUAGACAAGGUAUUGUAGGAAGUCCGAAGACAUUUGUUCCUAAAAAAAUACCAGCUUCAAACCAUCCCUAUCAAUUCAUCCAAGAUUUAACAGAGAUCUAAAAGGGGGUUUAGGAAGGUGUGAUGACAUCCAUAUGCGUGUCUGCAAAGAUGCUGAGGAAACAAAUAUACGAGAUGUACACACUAUCUUGAAUUCGCUCAUUUUCAUGGUUGGCAACACAUUAGAUAGCGUCGCACUUUACUUUAAGAAGCAUAAAAUCCAUUGGCAUUCAAUGUUUCAACAAGGUGUUUUGAACCAAACUCAUGGUACAUUUGUAAAACCAAUCCUAAAUGAAAAAGAGUAAAACAAAAUUGGCCACACAAACGAUUGACUUAACAAUUGCUUAGCAUUUACGCAAUUUCUCUGGUGCCAUUUCCUGAGAAUAGUCUUGGCUGUAUGCAGUUUCAUCAAGUAACUAUGAAAUGAAUUGUAAUAAAUACGAAGGCAUUGACUGAAUUGAAGAAGGAAGAGACAAUUCAUCCGAAGUUGGGUAUUCUUCUUUAGAGUUUCGAUGUGUUUUUCUAAGUAUACUUGCAGCGGAAUGAAAUAUCUGUCCGUUAUUUGUGUCUAUUACCGUUGACAUUGAGAUUUUGAGGUCAGUUUUCAAUUGCCUAGCAGCUGAUAUGGCAUCUCAAAUAGUUAUUUUGCUACUAUAUAUUAUGUUAUAUUUGCCUUGAACUUGUUGAAGUUGUUUGACAACUGAUUUUCUAUAGAAAUCAAUAAGUUUAGACCGC
This 1323-nucleotide long non-coding RNA is filed under the name Mytilus galloprovincialis (Mediterranean mussel). Lineage: Eukaryota; Metazoa; Mollusca; Bivalvia; Mytilida; Mytilidae. The record is from RNAcentral.